UGCCUACGGGGCGCAGCAGUGAGGAAUAUUGGUCAAUGGCCGGAAGGCUGAACCAGCCAAGUCGCGUGAGGGACGACUGCCCUAUGGGUUGUAAACCUCUUUUAUAAGGGAAGAAUAAAUGCUACGUGUAGCAUGAUGCCUGUACCUUAUGAAUAAGCAUCGGCUAACUCCGUGCCAGCAGCCGCGGUAAUACGGAGGAUGCGAGCGUUAUCCGGAUUUAUUGGGUUUAAAGGGUGCGUAGGCGGGCUUUUAAGUCAGCGGUAAAAAUUCGGGGCUCAACCCCGUCCGGCCGUUGAAACUGGGGG
This 305-nucleotide ribosomal RNA is filed under the name uncultured bacterium. RNAcentral's name for it is "bacterial SSU rRNA". It matches the Rfam family "Bacterial small subunit ribosomal RNA", at positions 335 to 639 of the family's 1533-position model. The record is from RNAcentral.